GUUCUUCAAUUCAUAAUUCCUAAGUUCUUUAAUUACUUUUACUUACAUUCAAGUUAUUUAUUGGAUUCCUGCUUGCAUCAAGUGCUCUAGUCUUUGAAACGCUAGAGUAGUAAUUAAUAGAUUAGACGUGGUGUUUAGACUUGCAAUUACCUGGAAUUGCACCCAAUCCUGCGGAUUGUUGUGGUAGCCCUAGGGUAGUGAUAGCCCUAACGGUCGACGUAUUCCACCUCAUUCGGAUCGGUGUUUGUAGG
This 251-nucleotide long non-coding RNA is filed under the name Sorghum bicolor (sorghum). RNAcentral's name for it is "long non-coding RNA (SBIC_LNC005176)". Lineage: Eukaryota; Viridiplantae; Streptophyta; Magnoliopsida; Poales; Poaceae. The record is from RNAcentral.